Lupinus angustifolius (narrow-leaved blue lupine) is the source of this 88-nucleotide non-coding RNA. Lineage: Eukaryota; Viridiplantae; Streptophyta; Magnoliopsida; Fabales; Fabaceae. The record is from Rfam.
UCUGCACAUGAUGAUAAAGAUAGACAGGGACAUCAGAUCUCAAACAGAGAAUGAUGACUUCGUCUAAUGGGAAUCUCUCUGAUGCAAU